UGGAAACAGAUGCUAAUACCGCAUAACAACUUGGACCGCAUGGUCCGAGUUUGAAAGAUGGCUUCGGCUAUCACUUUUGGAUGGUCCCGCGGCGUAUUAGCUAGAUGGUGAGGUAACGGCUCACCAUGGCAAUGAUACGUAGCCGACCUGAGAGGGUAAUCGGCCACAUUGGGACUGAGACACGGCCCAAACUCCUACGGGAGGCAGCAGUAGGGAAUCUUCCACAAUGGACGAAAGUCUGAUGGAGCAACGCCGCGUGAGUGAAGAAGGGUUUCGGCUCGUAAAACUCUGUUGUUAAAGAAGAACAUAUCUGAGAGUAACUGUUCAGGUAUUGACGGUAUUUAACCAGAAAGCCACGGCUAACUACGUGCCAGCAGCCGCGGUAAUACGUAGGUGGCAAGCGUUGUCCGGAUUUAUUGGGCGUAAAGCGAGCGCAGGCGGUUUUUUAAGUCUGAUGUGAAAGCCUUCGGCUC
RNAcentral lists this ribosomal RNA (473 nucleotides) under Lactiplantibacillus plantarum. Its description in RNAcentral is "bacterial SSU rRNA". It matches the Rfam family "Bacterial small subunit ribosomal RNA", at positions 151 to 610 of the family's 1533-position model. The record is from RNAcentral. Lineage: Bacteria; Bacillati; Bacillota; Bacilli; Lactobacillales; Lactobacillaceae.